GACAGAGGGUGCAAACGUUGCUCGGAAUCACUGGGCGUAAAGGGCGUGUAGGCGGGCAGGCAAGUCAGGUGUGAAAUCCCUGGGCUCAACCCAGGAAUUGCACUUGAAACUGCCUAUCUUGAGUACCGGAGAGGAAGGUGGAAUUCCUGGUGUAGAGGUGAAAUUCGUAGAUAUCAGGAGGAACACCAGUGGCGAAGGCGGCCUUCUGGACGGUAACUGACGCUGAGACGCGAAAGCGUGGGGAGCAAACAGG
RNAcentral lists this ribosomal RNA (253 nucleotides) under uncultured bacterium. RNAcentral's name for it is "partial 16S ribosomal RNA". It matches the Rfam family "Bacterial small subunit ribosomal RNA", at positions 524 to 776 of the family's 1533-position model. The record is from RNAcentral.